UACGUAGGGGGCGAGCGUUGUCCGGAUUUAUUGGGCGUAAAAGGCUUGUAGGUGGCCACGUCAAGUCGGAUGUGAAAUCUCCCGGCUCAACUGGGAGGGGUCAUUCGAUACUGGCGGGCUCGAGGCCGGUAGGGGGAAGUGGAAUUCCCGGUGUAGUGGUGGAAUGCGUAGAUAUCGGGAGGAACACCAGUGGCGAAGGCGGCUUCCUGGACCGGUUCUGACACUGAGGAGCGAAAGCGUGGGGAGCGAUCCGG
RNAcentral lists this ribosomal RNA (254 nucleotides) under uncultured bacterium. RNAcentral's name for it is "partial 16S ribosomal RNA". It matches the Rfam family "Bacterial small subunit ribosomal RNA", at positions 524 to 776 of the family's 1533-position model. The record is from RNAcentral.